GACGAACGCUGGCGGCGUGCUUAACACAUGCAAGUCGAACGAAGAGCGAUGGAAGCUUGCUUCUAUCAAUCUUAGUGGCGAACGGGUGAGUAACGCGUAAUCAACCUGCCCUUCAGAGGGGGACAACAGUUGGAAACGACUGCUAAUACCGCAUACGAUCUAACCUCGGCAUCGAGGAUAGAUGAAAGGUGGCCUCUAUUUAUAAGCUAUCACUGAAGGAGGGGAUUGCGUCUGAUUAGCUAGUUGGAGGGGUAACGGCCCACCAAGGCGAUGAUCAGUAGCCGGUCUGAGAGGAUGAACGGCCACAUUGGGACUGAGACACGGCCCAGACUCCCACGGGAGGCAGCAGUGGGGAAUCUUCCGCAAUGGACGAAAGUCUGACGGAGCAACGCCGCGUGAGUGAUGACGGCCUUCGGGUUGUAAAGCUCUGUUAAUCGGGACGAGAGGCCUUCUUGCGAAUAGUUAGAAGGAUUGACGGUACCGGAAUAGAAAGCCACGGCUAACUACGUGCCAGCAGCCGCGGUAAUACGUAGGUGGCAAGCGUUGUCCGGAAUUAUUGGGCGUAAAGCGCGCGCAGGCGGAUUGGUCAGUCUGUCUUAAAGGUUCGGGGCUUAACCCCGUGAUGGGAUGGAAACUGCCAAUCUAGAGUAUCGGAGAGGAAAGUGGAAUUCCUAGUGUAGCGGUGAAAUGCGUAGAUAUUAGGAAGAACACCAGUGGCGAAGGCGACUUUCUGGACGAAAACUGACGCUGAGGCGCGAAAGCCAGGGGAGCGAACGGGAUUAGAUACCCCGGUAGUCCUGGCCGAAACGAUGGGUACUAGGUGUAGGAGGUA
RNAcentral lists this ribosomal RNA (832 nucleotides) under uncultured organism. Its description in RNAcentral is "SSU rRNA". It matches the Rfam family "Bacterial small subunit ribosomal RNA", at positions 28 to 831 of the family's 1533-position model. The record is from RNAcentral.